GAGGGUAUAGCUCAAAUGGUAGAGCACAUGCUUAGCAUGCAUGAGUUCCUGGGUUCAAUCCCCAGGACUUCU
RNAcentral lists this transfer RNA (72 nucleotides) under Camelus bactrianus (Bactrian camel). It matches the Rfam family "tRNA". Rfam says of the family: Transfer RNA (tRNA) molecules are approximately 80 nucleotides in length. Their secondary structure includes four short double-helical elements and three loops (D, anti-codon, and T loops). RNAcentral also lists the same sequence under 2 other names. Lineage: Eukaryota; Metazoa; Chordata; Mammalia; Artiodactyla; Camelidae. The record is from Rfam by way of RNAcentral.